This is a non-coding RNA of Pogona vitticeps (central bearded dragon), 1170 nucleotides long. The record is from RefSeq and is a predicted model, not a curated record. NCBI's taxonomy places the organism in Eukaryota, Metazoa, Chordata, Lepidosauria, Squamata, Agamidae.
AGGAAUGAUACCCUUUUAGACAGCAACUGACAGCACAGGUCAAAAGACCGUAAAAUAUAUUCUGGUUGCCCAUAACAUCUGGAACUGACAAUCCUUUCAAGAGAUCACAUUUUUCUUACCCGUGCUGGCUUCCCAAAGAAAGGACCAGCUGCCAUCCCUGGAACUGACUGAUUGGGAAGGGCUUAGGUAUGAUAGAGAGGAAGGCAAGAUUCUGGAGACAGCAUCAUGGAGCUACUCCUGCUGUUAUAAGAAAAAGGCCUGCUCAUUGAUUUGGAAGCUGUUACACACAAGGAAAUCUGUUCUGUUUACAUGCACAAGGAAGGAAAUAUGCAAAUACGUCGAAGAGCAUGCUUGAGUCAAACAGAUUGCAGACAAAUCUACAGAGGUACCACGUAACCCAAAGGCCCAGAACAAUUUCCCCAGCCCCCGCACAUUGUUCGGGAACAAGGAGCCCUGAACAGAAUUGAUUCUCUGAUGCCUAUGAACAACUGCAGCAGCUGGCUGUUAAUUUGGGAAAGAGAUGCAGGAGAGGCACACACUUCCUUCUCCCUGGGGCUCUCUCUCGUCUCUCCACCCCACUGCACCCCACAGGUUGCAGAUUAAUUCAAUUCCAGCCCUGGGCUCGCAGAAGUCAGAUAAUAGCAUGGCAGCUGCCACCAUCCUGAGAUCAGAGACAGUAAUGCAAAGCUGUGAAGUCAGAGAAGUGAUUGAGAUGUCUGGUCAGAAUAGGAAACAUGGAAAGCAGGAAGCACAGCUUCAAGGUGUGUGAGAGAGGUGGUGAUGGCAGGAGAAGAGAUAUAGCUGGAAUGGAGGGAAAUAAAUAUACCUCUUCAAUACAGAAGAAGCUCCUGAGUUUGUAAAAAUUCAUAUUUUUUGGGGAGUACAAAUCCCAGAUCCCCCAGACAGCACUCAUGCAGAUGUACUAGCUAAGGGAUUCUGAAAGUUACAGUAUAAAAACGGAACUCUUCCAGACUCUGGGGAAAAAAUCCAGAAUGAAACUGAAUGCGGUGGUUUGCAGCCUUAGCUGUAAGUUGACCUUCUAGCCCUUUGCUGGUGUUUGCCACCUGACUUGCUAUCUCCAUAAGGGCUACGAAAGAAAAGAAAACAUGAUUUGAACCAAACAUUUGGUAGGCAGCCAUUAAUGGCUGGGAUGCCUCUGUGCAACUGCAU